This 914-nucleotide ribosomal RNA is filed under the name Pedobacter sp. DAB_ATA90. RNAcentral's name for it is "bacterial SSU rRNA". It matches the Rfam family "Bacterial small subunit ribosomal RNA", at positions 542 to 1466 of the family's 1533-position model. The record is from RNAcentral. Lineage: Bacteria; Pseudomonadati; Bacteroidota; Sphingobacteriia; Sphingobacteriales; Sphingobacteriaceae.
UAUCCGGAUUUAUUGGGUUUAAAGGGUGCGUAGGCGGCUUUUUAAGUCAGGGGUGAAAGACGGUGGCUCAACCAUCGCAGUGCCCUUGAUACUGAAGAGCUUGAAUGAACUAGAGGUAGGCGGAAUGUGACAAGUAGCGGUGAAAUGCAUAGAUAUGUCACAGAACACCGAUUGCGAAGGCAGCUUACUAUGGUUAAAUUGACGCUGAGGCACGAAAGCGUGGGGAUCAAACAGGAUUAGAUACCCUGGUAGUCCACGCCCUAAACGAUGAAUACUCGCUGUUAGCGAUACACAGUUAGCGGCUAAGCGAAAGCGUUAAGUAUUCCACCUGGGGAGUACGGUCGCAAGAUUGAAACUCAAAGGAAUUGACGGGGGCCCGCACAAGCGGAGGAGCAUGUGGUUUAAUUCGAUGAUACGCGAGGAACCUUACCCGGGCUUGAAAGUUAGUGAAUCAUUUAGAGAUAGAUGAGUCCGCAAGGACACGAAACUAGGUGCUGCAUGGCUGUCGUCAGCUCGUGCCGUGAGGUGUUGGGUUAAGUCCCGCAACGAGCGCAACCCCUAUGUUUAGUUGCCAGCACGUUAAGGUGGGGACUCUAAACAGACUGCCUGUGCAAACAGAGAGGAAGGAGGGGACGACGUCAAGUCAUCAUGGCCCUUACGUCCGGGGCUACACACGUGCUACAAUGGAUGGUACAGAGGGCAGCAAGCUGGUAACAGCAAGCAAAUCUCCAAAAGCCAUUCACAGUUCGGAUAGAGGUCUGCAACUCGACCUCUUGAAGUUGGAUUCGCUAGUAAUCGUAUAUCAGCAAUGAUACGGUGAAUACGUUCCCGGCCCUUGUACACACCGCCCGUCAAGCCAUGGAAAGUUGGGGGUACCUAAAGUAUGUAACCGCCAAGGAGCGUCCUAGGGUAAA